This 1176-nucleotide long non-coding RNA is filed under the name Zalophus californianus (California sea lion). RNAcentral's name for it is "lncRNA (ENSZCAG00015011527.1)". Lineage: Eukaryota; Metazoa; Chordata; Mammalia; Carnivora; Otariidae. The record is from RNAcentral.
CUCCCACCCCGCUGAGAACAGCCUGGAAUCCCUGAUACUGAGGGACAGAGACCGUCCCUGAGAGUCUGCCUUGCCCCGGGCCGUGGGGAGCCGCAGGGACACUGCUCCCACCGUGGAACUUUCUCCCGUUGCCUGUUUGCUGGACCAUUUCUCAGUGAUCUGAACAGUUCAAAUGUAAAGGCUUGUGUUCAUCCUUACAUCUCUCCAAAGUUUGCAGGGUGCCUGGCACAUAGUUCCCUGGGGAAUGGUGGUGUUGCUGAAAGUGACUUAGCGUUUCUGAGCUUCUGCUACCUGGCUCCAGGACUCUCCGGAUGAAAGAACAGAAUAACCCUCCCUCCCUCACAUGUCACCUUCCCUGCAGCCCAUUGUGAAACAUGAAUGCAGGCGUGGGCCACGUGUGAAACAGGCCCUAGUGCUGUGUCCAGGAUAGACUGCUGUAGCAUUUCCUGCUGACCUCCAGGAAGGAUGAGCAAUAGGGAGGACCAACCUUGGAAACUGGAUCCUUCUGAAAGAGAUGCAAGGCUUUCUUUUGUAUAUAAAUCACUCUUCUGAAGUAUUUUAGGUGGGAGUUGAACUUGUACCAGGGAUGUGGAGUCUCGCUAAGGACUGGGGAUAGGUGCAUGCACAAGAGUGGGUGGGGGGUGGGGAGAGAGAGAGUAUAAGGGCUGAAGAAUCUCAUCCUACCCCAGCAACACUCAAUUUUCCCCCUACUUUUUGAAAAAUCUGAUUUAUUUUUUUUAAAGAUUUUAUUUAUUUAUUCAUGAGAGACAGAGGGGGAGAGACAGAGAGAGAGAAGCAGAGGGAGAAGCAGGCUCCCAAGGAGCAGGGAGCCCGAUGCGGGACUCGAUCCCAGGACCCUGGGAUCAUGACCUGAGCCGAAGGCAGACGCUUAACCAUCUGAGCCACCCAGGCGCCCUGAAAAAUCUGAUUUAUUGAGAUGAAAUUUACUUACAGUAAAUUCAUCCUUUUUAGUGUACAGUCCUUUGAGUUUUGACAAGCACACAAAUGGUGUAACUACCACCACAAUCAAAAUAUAGAAUAGUUCCAGCACUCCCCAAAAUUUCCUCCUUUCCCUUUGUAGUCACCUCCCCCCCCACCCACCCCCAUCCCUGGCAACAACCUCUGAUCUGUUUUCUCUCCUUAUGGUUUUACCUUUGUGGCAGUGUCAUAUAAAAG